GACGAACGCUGGCGGCGUGCUUAACACAUGCAAGUCGAACGGAAAGGCCCUGCUUUUGUGGGGUGCUCGAGUGGCGAACGGGUGAGUAACACGUGAGUAACCUGCCCUUGACUUUGGGAUAACUUCAGGAAACUGGGGCUAAUACCGGAUAGGAGCUCCUGCUGCAUGGUGGGGGUUGGAAAGUUUCGGCGGUUGGGGAUGGACUCGCGGCUUAUCAGCUUGUUGGUGGGGUAGUGGCUUACCAAGGCUUUGACGGGUAGCCGGCCUGAGAGGGUGACCGGCCACAUUGGGACUGAGAUACGGCCCAGACUCCUACGGGAGGCAGCAGUGGGGAAUAUUGCACAAUGGGCGGAAGCCUGAUGCAGCAACGCCGCGUGCGGGAUGACGGCCUUCGGGUUGUAAACCGCUUUCGCCUGUGACGAAGCGUGAGUGACGGUAAUGGGUAAAGAAGCACCGGCUAACUACGUGCCAGCAGCCGCGGUGAUACGUAGGGUGCGAGCGUUGUCCGGAUUUAUUGGGCGUAAAGGGCUCGUAGGUGGUUGAUCGCGUCGGAAGUGUAAUCUUGGGGCUUAACCCUGAGCGUGCUUUCGAUACGGGUUGACUUGAGGAAGGUAGGGGAGAAUGGAAUUCCUGGUGGAGCGGUGGAAUGCGCAGAUAUCAGGAGGAACACCAGUGGCGAAGGCGGUUCUCUGGGCCUUUCCUGACGCUGAGGAGCGAAAGCGUGGGGAGCGAACAGGCUUAGAUACCCUGGUAGUCCACGCUGUAAACGGUGGGUACUAGGUGUGGGGUCCAUUCCACGGGUUCCGUGCCGUAGCUAACGCUUUAAGUACCCCGCCUGGGGAGUACGGCCGCAAGGCUAAAACUCAAAGGAAUUGACGGGGCCCCGCACAAGCGGCGGAGCAUGCGGAUUAAUUCGAUGCAACGCGUAGAACCUUACCUGGGUUUGACAUGGAUCGGGAGCGCUCAGAGAUGGGUGUGCCUCUUUUGGGGUCGGUUCACAGGUGGUGCAUGGCUGUCGUCAGCUCGUGUCGUGAGAUGUUGGGUUAAGUCCCGCAACGAGCGCAACCCUUGUUCACUGUUGCCAGCACGUCAUGGUGGGGACUCAGUGGAGACCGCCGGGGUCAACUCGUAGGAAGGUGGGGAGGACGUCAAGUCAUCAUGCCCCUCUAUGUCCCGGGCUUCACGCAUGCUACACUGGCUGGUACAGAGAGUGGCGAGCCUGUGAGGGUGAGAGAAUCUCGGAAAACCGCUCUCAGUUCUGAUAGGGGUGUGCACCUCUCCCUCACGAAGUCGGAGUGGCUAGUAAUAUCACAUCACACACACGCUGCGCGGAAUACGUUCUCCGGGGCU
RNAcentral lists this ribosomal RNA (1350 nucleotides) under uncultured bacterium. RNAcentral describes it as "bacterial SSU rRNA". It matches the Rfam family "Bacterial small subunit ribosomal RNA", at positions 28 to 1381 of the family's 1533-position model. The record is from RNAcentral.